This 253-nucleotide ribosomal RNA is filed under the name uncultured bacterium. Its description in RNAcentral is "partial 16S ribosomal RNA". It matches the Rfam family "Bacterial small subunit ribosomal RNA", at positions 524 to 776 of the family's 1533-position model. The record is from RNAcentral.
UACAGAGGGUGCAAGCGUUGCUCGGAAUCAUUGGGCGUAAAGGGUUGGUAGGUGGUCUCAUUUGUCGGGGGUGAAAGCCUUGGGCUUAACCCAAGAAGUGCCUCCGAAACGGUGAGACUAGAGUUCUGGAGAGGCUAGGGGAAUUCCCGGUGUAGCGGUGAAAUGCGUAGAGAUCGGGAGGAACACCUGUGGCGAAGGCGGCCCCCUGGGCUGCACCUGACACUGAGACGCGAAGGCCAGGGGAGCGAACGGG